RNAcentral lists this ribosomal RNA (923 nucleotides) under Uroobovella americana. Its description in RNAcentral is "eukaryotic LSU rRNA". It matches the Rfam family "Eukaryotic large subunit ribosomal RNA", at positions 401 to 1102 of the family's 3401-position model. Lineage: Eukaryota; Metazoa; Arthropoda; Arachnida; Mesostigmata; Urodinychidae. The record is from RNAcentral.
GAAACCGCUUUGAGUCAAACGGGUGGGACCUCGAAUCCGAUGGCGAAUCGAUUCACGUCCACUGCGGGUGUGUGAUUGGCGUUUGCGUAAUGGAGGGUUUCGGCCUUUCGUUUGCUGCGUUGAUUUGUGCACGCUUGCGGUGGGUCGGCAUUUCGUUUCGUCGGUAGGGCGUCAUGCGACCACUGAGGAGACGUUAGUAGGGCUAUUAUCGGGAGUUGGUUGCGGCAUUCGCAUUGUCUGCUGCAGCUAUAUAACCGUGUAGCUCGGGGCUAUCGAAAACUCAGUGUGGAUGUCAAAACUGGCCUUGCGUUUCGCGCGGGCAGCUUCAUCGGCAUGCUGAUUGUGGCGUUGUAUCGUGCUUGCGCGAUCAGCGUCGUAUGAUGCGAGUCGCUCUGGGGUUGUCUGCGUCGAGCAGGGUUGUCGCGGCGAGUAGGUCGGUAACCCACCCGACCCGUCUUGAAACACGGACCAAGAAGUGCAACAUAUACGCGAGUCAAUGAGCUACCUGUACCUCAAUGGCGUAAUGAAAUGUGAAUUUCACGUGUGAUCUGUAUAGUUUCAUCUAUGCAGCGCAACGCGGGCCCCUCUGGUUUGUCGCAAGACGCCGGUGGGAGCUAGAGCGUAUAUGUUGCGACCCGAAAGAUGGUGAUCUAUGCCUGGGCAAGACGAAGCCAGAGGAAACUCUGGUGGAGGUUUGAAGCGUUUCUGACGUGCAAAUCGAUCGUCUGACCUGGGUAUAGGGGCGAAAGACCAAUCGAACCAUCUAGUAGCUGGUUCCCUCCGAAGUUUCCCUCAGGAUAGCUUGUACUUAUAAAAACCAGUAUCAUCCGGUAAAGCGAAUGAUUAGAGGAAUUGGGGUCCAACGACCUCAACCUAUUCUCAAACUUUUAAUGGGUGAGAAUGUCAUCUCUCUGAUUGGAGAA